Molecule: ribosomal RNA, 301 nt
Filed under: uncultured bacterium
Lineage: Bacteria
Description: partial 16S ribosomal RNA
Rfam family: Bacterial small subunit ribosomal RNA
Source: RNAcentral
CAGCAGCCACGGUAAUACGUAGGUGGCAAGCGUUGUCCGGGAUUAUUGGGCGUAAAGGGCUCGCAGGCGGUUUCCUAAGUCUGAUGUGAAAGCCCCCGGCUCAACCGGGGAGGGUCAUUGGAAACUGGGAAACUUGAGUGCAGAAGAGGAGAGUGGAAUUCCACGUGUAGCGGUGAAAUGCGUAGAGAUGUGGAGGAACACCAGUGGCGAAGGCGACUCUCUGGUCUGUAACUGACGCUGAGGAGCGAAAGCGUGGGGAGCGAACAGGAUUAGAGACCCCUGUAGUCCCUGUCUCUUAUAC